This 6855-nucleotide small RNA is filed under the name Olea europaea subsp. europaea. The record is from RNAcentral. Lineage: Eukaryota; Viridiplantae; Streptophyta; Magnoliopsida; Lamiales; Oleaceae.
GAGAAUCGUUGUGGGUUAUUUUUUUUUAUUUUUUUUUAUUUUUUUUACCUUGUGCUUAAAAGUUAUUACAUGGAGAAUUUCAUAAAAGUGUCAUUAAGUGAUUGACAUUUCGAAUAUUCCUGAAUUUUGUAGGAUUUUUAAAAGUCAAGAUUGAAUAUACGUGACUUUUGAAGACUUUUCAAAAGUUUAUUGAACAGCAUCUCCAAGAAACUCUUUAAAUAUAAAAUGGUCUAUAUUUUAAAAAGUCAACCCUUAAAAUCACGCUCCAAUAAAUUCUUUAACUUAAUAUUUUAAUUUAGACGGCGAUUCUUUAUAAUUAAAUGCAUUCAAAGUAUUUCAAUUUUCAAUGUAGGAAAAUAAUAAAAUAAUCAAAAGAAAAGCUAAUUAAAAUUAAAGAUGGAGAAAAAUAAUAAAUAUUUUGUGAGCGAAGUAAAAUUAAGGCUCUGUUUGACCCACAUUCUUUAUAAUAAAAUAAAUUAAUUAAUUAUUUAAUUAAUUAAACAGUGAUUUGAUAUCGUUUCAACCACACAUUCUUUAAUAAAAUAAUAUUAUACACAAAUCUAAAACUUUUUCUUAUUUUUUUACCACGCAUUUCUCAUCAAUACACUAUUCAAAAAUAUAUUCUUAUAGAAAUAAUGCAACUCAAACAAGGGCUAAGUGUUAUAUAUGAAGAGUUUGUUAGAAUAUUUCAAAAUUUCAACUCUCUAUAUUAUAGAUACUCUAUAAAUGAUAGUAUAUACUCUUUAAAAAUAGACAGUAUCUUCAAAAUGCUUCAAGUCUAGUAAAUACACCUAAACUUUCAAACACCAUAAAAGUUUUUAAAAGUCUAAAUUAAAUACGGUAAGUAGUCCUCCAAAGCUCAAGGUUGAGAACAAAAAUUAGGGAUUUGUUUGAGCCCCAUUUUUUUGGAGAAUAGAUUUUUAAAUAGUGAUUUUUUGGAGAAUGUGUGAUUAAAAAGUAAGAAAACAUUUUUUUAUUUUACGUGUAGAAUUAUAUUAUUAGGAAAAUGUGUUGUUGAAAAUGAGUUUGAAAUAAAUUUUUAACGAAUGAGGGUCAAACAUGUGCUAAAUAAAUAAUAUAAAAUGGCAAAAAGAGCGAUCAUGUUCGCAAGCAACCCAAUGAACAAUUUAGAAAUCACUCUCUCUGACGUGUUUUGAGCAAUCUCUUAACGGUUGAAAUACACCGUGUAAUCUGGAGCAAAGGUUACCAUAAUUCACCUCCCCUGCAAUCUGUGCACAAUAUAGCAGCAACACUAUUCUUUUUAAUUACAAUUUACAGGUACAAUCUUGCCAGUAUUUUCACAUAUUCUUUAAUUUUUCUACCUUCCACUGAAUGCAUUAGAUUCCUCGAGAGUAGUACAACAUUUUCAUUUUGAAGCUUGAGAGUGUACAAACCAAGAAAAUAGUUUUCCAGCAUCAGUAAAAAGUUUAGAAGGAUAAACACUGCUUAUCCAACAUGUCACAUCCUUGCAGGCAUGACGACAUAUAACACGAGACUAGUGGGGAAGCAUCAGUUUCAUAUUUUUAUUAACAACAUACUGUAAUAAAUUGUUAUGUCCAAUGACAUGAAGAAUAAAAAAUGGUGUCUAUGAAAGAACGCACUCACAUUGAUGGAAUAUGCAGUUCCAAGUACAAAACUGAUGAAAAGAGCCCAGAACAAUGGCCACGAACCAACAAUCCAUCCAAGUGAAAAACUCUGUCAAAUAGAAGAGAAAUAUCUUUGUAAGUCAAGUGAUAACCGUGAAUGAGCUUUCACAUAGAACAUACAAGUCAUAGUCUCACACAAAAGAAAUUAUAUGAUUUUCCCAUACGUUUUUUAUUCGCUAUUCUUCUAUAUAAUUAAUACAUAAAUGAAUUCAGAUGUUCAGGAUUUCUCUGAUUAGUUUUCCUACUUCCUUGAACCUGCCCUCAUCGAAUUGAGUGUCUAAACUUCCCGCAUUUGGAGACAGAUUAAUAUUUAACACCUCAUACUUUCAUAGUUUUGUACAAGUCUUGGUCCCUUCCCCAUAUAUAUGAUUAACCAGUCAUUUUCCCCUAUCCCUAAUUUUACGCAGAGUUUUCUUUUCCACCACUAUAUAUGUUAUUUUCUCCAUCUUCAUGUGCUACAGUAUAAUUAAAAUAGUUUUUGGUAACAGUUAAGAUUGGACAAAACUCUCGAACAGAACCGGACCAGAACCGAAUCGAACCGAGCCAAAUAGUUUUUCUUCAAUAAAAUACCCGAACGUGUAUUCGAAUCGAGAAUUGACGAGUUCGGUUCAGUUCUUAGUUCUAGACUGAGAACCGAAAAAUCGAAUCCCCUUAAUUUUUUUAAUUUAUUUACUUAAAUAAGUCAAAUUCUUUUAUUUUUUCUAAAUAAAUUAGCUAACUAAUUAAUUUUGCUCAAAUCCAAAAUAUGAUUUUCCACAAGAGUACAGCCAAAAAGAUAUAUUAGGGUGCGCUGAAAUUUAAAAUUUUUCAAUAAACUCAUGCUAUAAAAGAUGCUCCAAGUCACACAAGAUUUAGUUUAAAAUGUUAAAUUCACGACGCUCAUGACAAAAUGCAUCGAAAUAUAUCUUAAACACUCGUAACAAAGCUUUAACAAAUAUAUUUUUAACUAAUAAAAUUAAAUAUAGAGUAUAUUACUUAUUUUGAUAAUAACAUCUAUUUCAUGAUCGAAAUAAAUAAAUUUUUAAGUCACAAGUAUAAAUAAGUAAUAUAUGAAAAAUACAUUAGAAAAUAUUUAAUUAUUUUUAAGCUUAAUCAAACGUGUGGCAUCUCAUAUUGUUAAAAUAAGUCAUUUAUCUUUACUUUAAUCAAUAAAAAUUAGUUGUUAUAAAAUAAACUAAUUCGAUUAUAAGUGAACUCUUUAAACUUAGUUAAAUAUAUAUGAAAUAAAAUAUUUAAUUUGAUAACAAGUUAUUUGUGUAUCAUGAAUGUGAAUAAAAUAAAUAUGUAAUUGUUGUGAAGUCUAAAAUUAAAUUUGAAUAAUUAAACGUUGGGCUUGGGUUCGGAAUGAAGUUAGUUAGGCUAAACUUAAUUUUUUGGCCGGGCUAAAUCUCAUAUUCUUUUUUCAUUUCAUUUUGAAUUUGGGCUAAAUUUUCCAUUUUUUAGAAGCUAAUUUGCUUUUGGGCUGGCCUGGGCUCUAUUUGUCUUAGAUUUUCCUACUUCUAAUUUUCCAUCCAAACUCAACUUAAUUAAAUUGACCUAAACUUUACCCAAAUAUAUUAUUCUACCAUAGUGUCGUUUCUACGUUUUUGAAGAAAUUGAAUUGGAAGCUCGACUACGCUUCUCUUCAUUAUUGUGAGCUCGUAUCUUCCUCUUAUAAUUUUAACAAUCAAAUCUAUGAAUAAUUCAAAAAAGAGAAGCGCAAAAGAUACAUAUGAUUGAACUAGAUUAUUCUGCAAGAGCUAAGAUUGAAUAUAUCCUUAGUUGAAUUAAUGCAAUGUUGUAAAUAUUAAAAAAUUUAAUUACUAUAUGGAACUCAGGAAUCGAAUCAAACUAAACCGAAUUCGAACAGUUCUAUAAUUAAAUUUGAACCGACAAAUAUCCGAAUAUUCGACCGAACCAUGUCCAACCCUGGUAAGUAUAUUAUCUCAGUAGUUUUUAUCUUUUUUUGCUAUAUACAACUUCCAAAUGUUAGUAGUUUUUAAGUUGCUUAAUUUCUUCAAUCGUUACAAGAUUAAGUAAUUAGAAGGAAAAAAGAAAAUUAAUUUGGCAACUCAACCAUAGAAAUAGAACUAACUUUUGGAUUAGAGGGAGAAUAACAAAAACCAAUUCUAGAUAGUAAGAGACUAUAAAUUCUUGAGUUGAGUUGGUACAAAAUUGGUCAUUUCUUAUAUUAAUUCUCUUUUUUCUCAAUAGUGUUUCAAGUACAAAAAAUAUAUAGUCGAGCAACUCCGUAAACUCAAAGAUAUUAAGAUCAAAUCAUCCUACUAAGGGUCGGACAUCCCACUUCCAGAAAAAAGGGAUACGAAAGAAAUAGUUGUCAUAGAACUUGGAAGAACUAGACCCCGAAAGCUAGCCAUUGAGGUUGAAGAACCCAAGCCUAUUUAAACCAUACAAAGGAAGCUCAUACUUCCGAUGUUAGAUUCAAGUGCUCAUACACCCCAAUGGGAACCAUGACAAACCACCAAGCUUCCGACUCAGGGUCCACGUCGAGCAAGUGCCCAUACACCCUAAGUGGUAACCGAGACCAGAAGAUAAGGUACCUGCUUUGAUUUUGAUACCAUUGUAAUGGUUGGAGAGCUGAACUUCAACCAAACUAGCUAAAUUCCCCUUAAAAUCAACACACAAUUUAAGAUACUAAGCAGGGAUUUGAUAACCCAUCUGGGAUUCCAUCAUUUGACUAAAAUUACACAGAAACAAUGUAAUGUAAAUUGUAUUCCAUUGAUUGAUAAGUUCUAUUACAAUGUAGGGAUACAAAUAAAAGACAAAAAUAAAAAAAAGAGAGAUCGGUGGAGGAGCAGAGACAGAGAAGGAAGAAGAGAAAGAACAGAAGAAGAGGAGAAGCAGAACCUAGAAGGAGAAACAGGGAAGAAGCAGGAGAAGGAGAAGAGGCUUACCAGAGGGGAGAAAUGCAAAAAUCAGAGGAAAGAAGAACACGAGAAGGGAGAAGAAGAUGGUUUUGGGCAGCAAAGCCACAAUUCAAUUCAACAACUCCUCAUCGUCUUCAAAGUAAAACCAUAUGUAGAACAAAAUAACCCUGAAGGGCUUGGGCUAGCCCACUAACAAAAAAGCCCAAUUAGAUAAAAUAACAGUAAUGUAGUUAACCAUGAUAUUCUAUUUCCCUUAAAUUAACCUUGUCCUCAAAGUUCAAAGUGUUAGAUAGGAUUAUUCCUCCAAAUCAUACAUAUUCUAAUUAGCAUAAUUAGUAUUUUGUAUAUAGAAAUAAUGUAUUUUUACUAUAUUUAGAGUGCAGUCGGUGGGUAGUCGGUACACUCUCGAUCUUUGGAAGAUUCUGUGGGUCGAUUUCAAGUGUGUCGUGGAAUUUUUUAGCCGCCUUCUCCUUCAAAUCAUCUGUUCCCGAAGUUAAUCGCAAACUUCAUUCUUGGGCUGAUUCGGUGCGUGAGUUCAGGGUGUCGUUUCCAGCGUUUUCAGAUUUGGGCUCUAGGAUUUGAUAAAAUACCAGAUUUGGGCUUAUCUAUUUUGGACAGGUAAUAUCUUGGAUUAGGCUUUCAGUUGUUGGGAUGGGUAUUAUUAGACUCUUGUGCUUAAAUCAUUUGGGCAUUCUAUUGGACUACAUAUAACAUUUUGGACUUGGACACAAUUUAAUUGCAUUACUACUUUAUUGAUUUGAGUAGUAAAUUAUUUGCUUGUUUUAUCAUAUCAUGAGAAAAUUCUAUUAUUCGUUUUAAUGGAAAAAAUUACUCGAGUUGGGUCCGGAUGUCUGUGAAAGGAAAAGAAUUAUGGAGUCAUUUAGAUGGAUCUUCUACGGUACCGACUGAUGCCAAAGAACUUAAUUUAUGGGAAACCAAGUAUGCUAAGAUUGUUUCAUGGCUACUGAGUUCUACUGAACCACAUAUGGUCAACAAUCUUCGUUCUUUCACUACCGCUAAAGAAAUGUGGGAUUACCUCAAGCGUAUUUACUAUCAAGGCAACAGUGCUCGAAAGUUUCAAUUGGAGUUGGAAAUUGCUAACUACAAUCAAGGUAAUCUUUCUAUUGAUCAAUUUUAUGCUGGAUUUCUUAAUAUGUGGAAUGAAUACUCUGGGAUAGUUCAUUCCAAAGUUCCCAAGGAAGCUUUAGCAGCACUUCAAGUUGUUCAUGCUGAGAGUCAGAGAGAUCAAUUCUUGAUGAAGUUGCGACCAGAAUUUGAGACUGUGCGGGCUAAUUUACUAAACCGUACUCCUAUUCCUUCUUUAGAUGUAUGCUUAGGAGAAUUACUAAGUGAGGAACGUCAUCUUGCCACACAACUUGGGAUGAUUCCAGAAACUACUACUAAGAUGGUUAAUGUAGCGUACGCUGCUCAAGGGAAAGGAAAGCUCAAGACAUAAGUACAGUGCUAUAGUUGCAAAGAGUUUGGGCAUGUUGCGAAAAAUUGCAGCAAGAAAUUCUGCAAUUACUACAAAAAGAAAGGAAAUAUUAUUAAAGACUAUCGAGUAUGGCCGCAAAUUAAACAAGAGAUGGCCUUUCACACUGCUAUCCAGCCUAAUUCAUUCGCUACACCUCAAACUGGUUUUUCCACUAAUCUUACACCUGUGAUGGGCCAACGGAUGAUUGUUUCUGCUUUCACUGCUCUUGGUCUUCAAGGUAAUAAAAAUCUAAUUCUCUCUCCUUGGUUGGUUGAUUCGGCAGCAUCCAAUCAUAUGACAGGUAGUACAGAGGACUUGCAUGGUAUUCGUAAGUAUGAGGGUAAUCAACAUAUUCAAAUGGCCAAUGGCAAUACUACUCCUAUCAAAGCAAUUGGAAAUUUGGGAUCUUCUUUCACCAAUGUAUUUGUGUCACCGGAAUUUAAUUUCUGCUGGACAGUUGGUAGAUGACAAUUGUGAAAUUCAUUUUAAUCGUUCUGGUUGUUGUGUGCAAGAUCAAGUAUCGGGAAAAGUGAUCGCGAAGGGGCUUAAAGUGGGACGUUUAUUUCCUCUUCAGUUUUCGAUUUUUGAUUCAUUUGCUUGUAAUGCUAUUGCUACUGAUAAUAAUGUUUGGCAUAAGAAAUUGAGUCACACCAAUUCUAAUGUCUUAGCUCAUCUCAUAAAAAAUGGUUAUUUGGGCAAUAAAGAUUCAUUUUCUCAUAUGUCUACCGAUUGUAGUUCUUGUAAGCUUGGUAAAAGCAAAAAUUUACCUUUCCCAUCACAUGCUAAUCAAGCUUUUACAUGUCUUGAGAUUAUUCAUACUGAUGUGUGGGGUGUAAGUCCUGUGCCUUCUCAUGCUCUAAGUAUUUCG